AUAUAAAUCAAAAUACGUGUGUGAUAUUUUAUACCGAGUGAGUUGAUAAU
This 50-nucleotide non-coding RNA is filed under the name Trypanosoma lewisi. The record is from RNAcentral. Lineage: Eukaryota; Euglenozoa; Kinetoplastea; Trypanosomatida; Trypanosomatidae.